AUUGAACGCUGGCGGCAGGCCUAACACAUGCAAGUCGAGCGCGAAAGUUCUUCGGAAUGAGUAAAGCGGCGGACGGGUGAGUAAUACAUGGGAAUCUGCCUGGUAGUGGGGGACAACGUUUCGAAAGGAACGCUAAUACCGCAUACGCCCUACGGGGAAGGGGGGAUCGCAAGACCUCUCGCUAUCAGAUGAGCUCAUGU
Molecule: ribosomal RNA, 200 nt
Filed under: uncultured bacterium
Lineage: Bacteria
Description: partial 16S ribosomal RNA
Rfam family: Bacterial small subunit ribosomal RNA
Source: RNAcentral